Molecule: ribosomal RNA, 483 nt
Filed under: uncultured bacterium
Lineage: Bacteria
Description: partial 16S ribosomal RNA
Rfam family: Bacterial small subunit ribosomal RNA
Source: RNAcentral
AUUGAACGCUGGCGGCAUGCUUUACACAUGCAAGUCGAACGGCAGCGCGGGCUUCGGCCUGGCGGCGAGUGGCGAACGGGUGAGUAAUACAUCGGAACGUGCCCAGUAGUGGGGGAUAGCUCGGCGAAAGCCGGAUUAAUACCGCAUACGACCUGAGGGUGAAAGCGGGGGAUCUUCGGACCUCGCGCUAUUGGAGCGGCCGAUGGCAGAUUAGCUAGUUGGUGGGGUAAAGGCCUACCAAGGCGACGAUCUGUAGCUGGUCUGAGAGGACGACCAGCCACACUGGGACUGAGACACGGCCCAGACUCCUACGGGAGGCAGCAGUGGGGAAUUUUGGACAAUGGGCGAAAGCCUGACCCAGCAAUGCCGCGUGUGUGAUGAAGGCCUUCGGGUUGUAAAGCACUUUUGGCGGGAACGAAAAGGACUGUGCCAAUACCACGGUUCGAUGACGGUACCCGCAGAAUAAGCACCGGCUAACUACGU